UGUUUUGAGAGCAAUCUGGCUGCAACAGCUGUCACUCCACUGAUCACCAGGGUUGAUUCAGCUGAUUUGAUUGGCUAGGUAGGUGUCCCCUUCCUCCCUGACUGCUCCAUGUGUGUCCCUUCCAAAGCUCAGUCAAAGAUAAUGUCCUUCCCCAAAUAGAGAAGGACUGGUCUUUGGCCAUGGGCAUAGCAGUAGCUAUACUCCCCUGCUAGAACCUCCAAACAAUAUCUCAAGAGUAACAUUUUUAUAGAGUUGAUGCUUCAGCAUUUACUGUUUUGCCAAAUGCCAUAAGGGUAAGAUUGUCUGCUUGCUUCCUUCUU
Cricetulus griseus (Chinese hamster) is the source of this 320-nucleotide non-coding RNA. The record is from Rfam. Lineage: Eukaryota; Metazoa; Chordata; Mammalia; Rodentia; Cricetidae.